This 68-nucleotide transfer RNA is filed under the name Phyrella fragilis. RNAcentral's name for it is "tRNA-Asp". It matches the Rfam family "tRNA". From Rfam's summary of the family: Transfer RNA (tRNA) molecules are approximately 80 nucleotides in length. Their secondary structure includes four short double-helical elements and three loops (D, anti-codon, and T loops). Lineage: Eukaryota; Metazoa; Echinodermata; Holothuroidea; Dendrochirotida; Phyllophoridae. The record is from RNAcentral.
AGGGUUUUAGUUUAAAAGAAAAUACUGGACUGUCAGAUCAGAGAUGAAAGAUAUAUUUUCAAACCUUG